AUUGAACGCUGGCGGCAUGCCUUACAUAUGCAAGUCGAACGGCAGCAUGGAGAGCUUGCUCUCUGAUGGCGAGUGGCGAACGGGUGAGUAAAGCAUCGGAACGUACCGUGUAGUGGGGGAUAACGUAGCGAAAGUUACGCUAAUACCGCAUACGCACUGAGGUGGAAAGCAGGGGAUCGUAAGACCUUGCGCUAUACGAGCGGCCGGUGUCAGAUUAGCUAGUUGGUAGGGUAAAGGCCUACCAAGGCGACGAUCUGUAGCGGGGCUGAGAGGAUGAUCGGCCACACGGGGACUGAGACACGGCCCAGACUCCUACGGGAGGCAGCAGUGGGGAAUUUUGGACAAUGGGGGAAACCCUGAUCCAGCCAUGCCGCGUGAGUGAAGAAGGCCUUCGGGUUGUAAAGCUCUUUCGGCCGGGAAGAAAUCGCACAGGCUAAUACCCUGGGUGGAUGACGGUACCGGCAUAAGAAGCACCGGCUAACUACGUGCCAGCCGCCGCAGUAA
Molecule: ribosomal RNA, 504 nt
Filed under: uncultured bacterium
Lineage: Bacteria
Description: partial 16S ribosomal RNA
Rfam family: Bacterial small subunit ribosomal RNA
Source: RNAcentral